UUUUCUCAACAUCUCCUCUCUCUCUCACACCGUUAACCCAUCGGAGUAACCAUUUUUGGCGAGAUUCCAACUAUCAAACCUUCUUCAUCUUCCCCUUUACCACAAGACCAACAACUCCAUGCCUUCUCUCUUCGUUGUCAGCCACCGAAAGAAUCAAAGAAACCACUACGAACUAUCAGAGCCAACCCAUGCGCCGCCUCUCCUUGACUUCACCACUGCUGGCUCGCCGGAGUUGUGCUCGGCGAGAUCCAACUGAGAAACCGCCACGCGCCACCACCCAAGCCCAGAUCUGUCGCCAUCAGCCACAUCGCGGCAGCCACCCCUCUUUUUCUUUCCCUUUCGAUUUUGCUCAUCAAGAACUGGCCAUUAAUUGGCCGUACUUACGUUUUUCGGCGUUGCUCCGGCAUACGCCGUUGAAGCAAUGCCAACCUUUAUUUGUCAUAGUCUUCGAUCUGCUUAAUAAUUUGCCUAUUUUAUGGAUUUGGGUGGUUU
Molecule: long non-coding RNA, 492 nt
Filed under: Capsicum annuum
Lineage: Eukaryota; Viridiplantae; Streptophyta; Magnoliopsida; Solanales; Solanaceae
Description: long non-coding RNA (CANN_LNC003806)
Source: RNAcentral